This 253-nucleotide ribosomal RNA is filed under the name uncultured bacterium. Its description in RNAcentral is "partial 16S ribosomal RNA". It matches the Rfam family "Bacterial small subunit ribosomal RNA", at positions 524 to 776 of the family's 1533-position model. The record is from RNAcentral.
UACGUAGGCAGCAAGCGUUGUUCGGAGUUACUGGGCGUAAAGAGUAUGUAGGUGGUUUCGUAAGUUUGGUGUGAAAUCUCCCGGCUCAACUGGGAGGGUGCGCCGAAAACUGCGAGGCUAGAGUGCGGGAGAGGAGAGCGGAAUUCCUGGUGUAGCGGUGAAAUGCGUAGAUAUCAGGAGGAACACCUGCGGUGUAGACGGCUCUCUGGACCGUUACUGACACUGAGAUACGAAAGCGUGGGGAGCAAACAGG